GCCGCGUGACGAUGAAGCAUUUCGGUGUGUAAAGUUCUUUUCUAUUGGACCAGUGCUGUUUAUAUGAACAGUAUGAGAGGAGAGAUAUUACAGUAGGAAUAAGCCACGGCUAACUCCGUGCCAGCAGCCGCGGUAAUACGGGGGUGGCAAGCGUUGUCCGGAAUUACUAGGCGUAAAGGGCAGGUAGGCGGUUAUGUAAGUUAAUUGUUAAAGGCCCAUGCUCACCAUGGGUAAGGCAGUUGAUACUGUAUAACUGGAAGCGAGUGGGGGAAGACGGAAUUCCAGGUGUAGCGGUGGAAUGCGCAGAUAUCAGGAGGAACACCUAAGGCGAAGGCAGUCUUCUACGCUUUGCUUGACGCUAAACUGCGAAGGUGCGGGUAUCAAACAGGAUUAGAUACCCUGGUAGUCCGCACAGUAAACGAUAAUCACUAGGUGUCGGUGGGAUAGACCUGUCGGUGCCGUAGCUAACGCGAUAAGUGAUUCGCCCUGGGCGAGUACGAUCGCAUGGUUGAAACUUCACAGGAAUU
Molecule: ribosomal RNA, 527 nt
Filed under: uncultured bacterium
Lineage: Bacteria
Description: bacterial SSU rRNA
Rfam family: Bacterial small subunit ribosomal RNA
Source: RNAcentral